This 456-nucleotide long non-coding RNA is filed under the name Physcomitrium patens. Its description in RNAcentral is "long non-coding RNA (PPAT_LNC008519)". The record is from RNAcentral. Lineage: Eukaryota; Viridiplantae; Streptophyta; Bryopsida; Funariales; Funariaceae.
GAUAGUCAUGAGCUAGGAUAAGCUUAGUACUACCUCUUUAUUCUCUUUAUUUUCUUUGUAGUUGAAGAGUAAUGGAUAGUUUUUGAAUAUUAUGAAGUGAAUCUAUGAAAUAAAUCAGAGAUUGAUUUAUGAGAUAUUGAAUAUGUAAUUGGAGUACUGUAUAAUUGAAUUAUUAUGAAAAGAUAAUAGAAGUUCAUUAUUAGAUUUUGUGGAAGAUUGAUUUUGGAUAAAAAAUUAUGAUUGUUGUUAAUUGAGAGUUGUGUGUGUUUUGACAGAAGAACUCUGUGAUAACAAAAAUUGUAUGAAGUGAGAUUGAUUGGAGUAAAAUACUAUUAUUUCUAAUAUUGGAUAAAAUUUAUAUGUUUUGAGUGGUAUUGUGAGAGUGCAAGAUUACACAUUAUUGUUAUUAGUUGAUGAAAGAGUAUUAUUAGUGGGAGAAAGUAUUGUAGUAUUCUU